Molecule: ribosomal RNA, 1595 nt
Filed under: Sphaerospora sp. SJ-2008
Lineage: Eukaryota; Metazoa; Cnidaria; Myxozoa; Bivalvulida; Sphaerosporidae
Description: SSU rRNA
Rfam family: Eukaryotic small subunit ribosomal RNA
Source: RNAcentral
GUGAGACUGCGGACGGCUCAGUACAUCAGUUAUAGUUUAUUCGAUUGUGAAAUCCACAUGGAUAACCGUGGAAAAUCUAGAGCUAAUACAUGCGAAAAAUGACCCAGUUACUCCGGUAGUUGGGUUGUGCAUUUAUUAGAUUAGAACCAAUUGGUGUUGCGGUUUUUCCGUGACACUAUUAUGGUGAGUCUGGAUAACUGUGCCGAUCGUAUGGCCUUGAGCCGGCGACGUUUCGAUUAAAUUUCUGCCCUAUCAACUUGUUGGUAAGGUCGUGGCUUACCAAGGUGAUAACGGGUAACGGGGAAUCAGGGUUCGAUUCCGGAGAGGGAGCCUGAGAAACGGCUACCACAUCCAAGGACGGCAGCAGGCGCGCAAAUUACCCAAUCCAGACACUGGGAGGUGGUGACGAGAAAUACCAGGUCGUUCCCAAAAGGAUUCGACACUGGAAUGAGUACAGAAUAAAUAAUUGUUCGAGUAACAACUGGAGGGCAAGUCUGGUGCCAGCAGCCGCGGUAAUUCCAGCUCCAGCAGUGUAUUCUAACGUUGCUGCGGUUAAAACGCUCGUAGUUGGACAAGAGAGUGAUUUGGUGCGGGCGGGGAGUGUAAUUACUCUGUACUUGCACUCAGUUCAUUCAGCGUGUUGCCUUGGUAGCACGUCUGUUGAAUUGGGCUGUGGUACAGUUGUAGCACUCGUCAACCAUGCUGCCAGGUCACUCAUAUUAUUUCGUGAGAAUGGCGUAUGGCCUUCAUUGUGCUGUACGUUGUGUCUUACGUAGUGUGCCUUGAAUAAAUCAGAGUGCUCAAAGCAAGCUGUCGCUUGAAUGUUAAUAGCAUGGAACGAAUGUUUUGUGGAUGUGUGCAUGUGGUGUAUUUCGGUACAUUGUGUGUGCAUAGCGCCAACCACGAAGCGGAACAUUGGUUGCCGACUUCGGGUGAGGAUUAAGAGGGGCAUUUGGGGGCAUUAGUAUUUGGCCGCGAGAGGUGAAAUUCUUGGACCGGCCAAGGACUAACAAGUGCGAAAGCAUUUGCCAAGUAUGUUCCCUUUAAUCAAGAACGAAAGUGAGAGGUUCGAAGACGAUCAGAUACCGUCCUAGUUCUCACCGUAAACGAUGCCAACCCGGGAUCAGUUCGGAUGUAUUUAUAUUGGAUCCAGGUUGGUCCCCCUGGGAAACCUUGAGUUUUUAGGUUCCGGGGGGAGUAUGGUUGCAAGGCUGAAACUUAAAGGAAUUGACGGAAGGGCACCACCAGGAGUGGAGCCUGCGGCUUAAUUUGACUCAACACGGGAAAACUCACCUGGUCCGGACAUCGAUAGGAUUGACAGACUAAUAGAUCUUUCAUGAUACGGUGGGUGGUGGUGCAUGGCCGUUCUUAGUUCGUGGAGCGAUCUGUCAGGUUUAUUCCGGUAACGAACGAGAUCACGUUCUUCAUUUAGGGAGCUGCAUUCAUUCUUUAGAUGUGUUACGGUUUCGGCCGUCACACGCUAAACAUGACUGUGGUGUGCGUGCAGCAAUGUGCGCCCCUAUGGAGAGACAGCCGGAUUGUAAGCCGGAGGAAGCGUGGCAAUAACAGGUCUGUGAUGCCCUAAGAUGUCCUGG